Molecule: ribosomal RNA, 498 nt
Filed under: uncultured bacterium
Lineage: Bacteria
Description: bacterial SSU rRNA
Rfam family: Bacterial small subunit ribosomal RNA
Source: RNAcentral
AGAGUUUGAUCCUGGCUCAGGAACAACGCUGGCGGCGUGCCUAACGCAUGCAAGUCGGGCGGGCCGUCGCUUCGGCGGCGGUCAGCGGCGGACGGGUGCGGAACGCGUGGCGAACCUGCCCCUCAGUGGGGGACAACCCCGGGAAACCGGGGCUGAUACCGCAUGAGUUGGCCGGCCGGUGGGGCCGGCCAGGAAAGCCGCGAGGCGCUGGGGGAGGGUGCUGCGUCCGAUUAGCUGGUUGGUGGGGUAACGGCCUACCAAGGCCGCGAUCGGUAGCGGGUCUGAGAGGACGGCCCGCCACAGGGGGACUGAGAGACGGCCCCCACACCUACGGGUGGCAGCAGCGAGGGAUUUUCGGCAAUGGGCGCAAGCCUGACCGAGCAACGCCGCGUGCGGGACGACGCCCUUCGGGGUGUAAACCGCUUUUGGGUGGGACGAGGAUGACGGUACCACUCGAAUAAGUCUCGGCUAACUACGUGCCAGCAGCCGCGGUAAUUC